CCGCCACCGGGGUGGGCCCGGGGCGCCCUGGCAUGCUGGGCCGGAUCUGGACAGAGCUGUCUAGGUCGCCGAUCGACACUACGGUGGUGGAC
RNAcentral lists this transfer RNA (92 nucleotides) under Mycolicibacterium helvum. Its description in RNAcentral is "tRNA-Ser". Lineage: Bacteria; Bacillati; Actinomycetota; Actinomycetes; Mycobacteriales; Mycobacteriaceae. The record is from RNAcentral.